This 473-nucleotide ribosomal RNA is filed under the name uncultured bacterium. RNAcentral describes it as "bacterial SSU rRNA". It matches the Rfam family "Bacterial small subunit ribosomal RNA", at positions 335 to 802 of the family's 1533-position model. The record is from RNAcentral.
ACUCCUACGGGAGGCAGCAGUGGGGGAAUAUUGCACAAUGGGGGAAACCCUGAUGCAGCCAUGCCGCGUGUGUGAAGAAGGCCUUCGGUUGUAAAGCACUUCAGUAGGGAGGAAGGUAGUGUAGUUAACACCUGCAUUAUUUGACGUUACCUACAGAAGAAGCACCGGCUAACUCCGUGCCAGCAGCCGCGGUAAUACGGAGGGGUGCGAGCGUUAAUCGGAAUUACUGGGCGUAAAGCGCAUGCAGGCGGCCUGUUAAGUCAGAUGUGAAAGCCCGGGGGCUUAACCUCGGAAUUGCAUUUGAAACUGGCAGGCUAGAGUCUUGUAGAGGGGGUAGAAUUUCAGGUGUAGCGGUGAAAUGCGUAGAGAUCUGAAGGAAUACCAGUGGCGAAGGCGGCCCCCUGGACAAAGACUGACGCUCAGAUGCGAAAGCGUGGGGAGCAAACAGGAUUAGAUACCCUGGUAGACUGUCA